This is a long non-coding RNA of Rhea pennata, 392 nucleotides long. RefSeq lists it as uncharacterized. The record is from RefSeq and is a predicted model, not a curated record. Lineage: Eukaryota; Metazoa; Chordata; Aves; Rheiformes; Rheidae. The transcript is spliced from 2 exons.
GCCACUCCUCACAAGUACUUAUGCCCUAAUGUCUGGUGUUUGAAUAGCAUGGGGAUUACAGAUGAUCUGAGCACUGCAGGAUGAGAGGUAUUUCAUCCUUCUUCCCUCGUCAACAGAGGGAAUGACUUGAAUAGUCUUCAUGUAAGCCUGAGAAAUAAGCUGCAGCCGUGGGCCUGAUCGGUACAGCGCCGGCCUGAGACAGGGGGACAAAGCUAUUUUCCGUUGUGCUGAUGGAUGAGCUUCAACAACCCGCUGAAACUUUCCUGGUUGCUCCAUCUGUUAAAUGGGAUUGUGCUAAUAACAUCUUUUGUAAUAUGCUUUGAGAUUCAUGGAGGCUGCGCUGCAUAUAGGCAAGGGAUAAUUGUUUGAAUAAACAGAUUAUAUAUACUAUG